AUAUUCUACGGGAAACCUUAACUUAAUAUAAGGAAUGAAGUGAAUUGAAACAUCUUAUUAACUUCAAUAUAAAUCAACCGAGAACUUGGGAGUAGUUGUGAGCGAAACUGAGAAUAGGCCAAAAAACUCCAAAACUCUUAAAAAUGAAAAAAAGUAGUGGAAACUCUUGCCAAAGAAGGUAAAAGCCCUGUAAAAGUCUAAGAAUUGGAGUCAAAAGCUCUUUAAAAGAGAAAGAAAAGGGGAACCACCCUCUAAGCCUAAAAACGUUUUCUGACCGAUAGUGAACAAGUACUGUGAAGGAAAGGCAUGAAAAGAAAUCCAACUAGUAAUGGGAUGUGAAAGAGAAUCAAAAAUCCGAUAAAGACAAUCAGUCUUUGUAAAGGCGUACCUUUUGCAUAAUGGGUCAGCGAGUAAGAAGUGAAAGCGAACUUAAGCUCAUAAGUGGAGGUGUAAUGAAAUUGAUAAUUUUGAUUUUAGUUUUCAUUUCUUGACCCGAAACCGAGUGAUCUAGCCAUGAGCAAGCUGAAGAAAUGGUAAUACAUUUUGGAGGGCUGAACCUGUGUCUGUGGCAAAAGACUAGGAUGACUUGUGGUUAGGGGUGAAAGGCCAAACGAACUCGGAAAUAGCUGGUUUUCUGCGAAAUUUAUUGAGGUAAAGCGUUUGAUUUUGUCGAUAAGAGGUAGAGCACUCUUUAGAAAACAAAUGUAUAAAAAACGAUGUCUAAUCUUCUUAAAUGAAAUUCUACAUAGUUUUUUUAAGUUUUUUUUUUAAGGAAACUCCGAAUGUUUAUCGGAUUAUAUCAAGCAGACAGACUUGUGAUGCUAAGGUCUCAAGUCAAGAGGGAAACAGCCCAGAUGAUAUGCUAAGGUCCCAAAGCAAUGACUUGGUGGUAAAGGAGGUAUUAGAACAAAGACAACCAGGAGAUAAGCUUGGAAGCAGCUAGUCUUUAAAGAAAGCGUAAUAGCUCACUGGUCGAGUUCUAAAUUGGCGCCGAAAAUAAACGGGUCCAAAGUCAUUCACCGAAGCAAUCAUUGUUUGGUUUAAAUUCUCAAAUCGAAUGGAAGGGGAAAGACUGAACUUUCGAAAACCUUGUUCCACGAUAAAACGUAGAACGAUAUUUCAAGCCAAGCAAGGUAGCAGAACGUUUUGUUAGUCUAUGAAAGAAAUCUGAAAAGAUUUCUGGAGAUUUCAAAAGUGAGAAUGCUGACAUGAGUAACGAAAAAUCAUGUGAUAUUCAUGAUCGCCGAAAGUCCAAGGGUUUCUACGAUACGUAAAUCGACGUAGAGUUAUUCGGCCCCUAAAAUGCAACAAGAAAUUGUUGGUUGAUGGGUUUUUUGAUGCAUUAAUAACUUCUAAUAGUUUAGUUAAUGCACAAUUGUUUGAUGACGAAUAGAAAAAAGGAAAAGAGUUGAAGAUUCUUUUUGCAAAUUUGAUUUUAAAGUCAAAGAUUUGUUCAUUUUAUUAAGGUUAUUGGAUUCCUUAUAAGGUAAACACUAUUCCAGGAAAUAACAACAAUGCUGACAUAUUCUAAAUUCAGCAAGAUUCUCUAGCAAAGAAUCAAUCUAUACCGUACCCUAAACCGACUCUGGUGGACAAGUGUAUUUCACUAAGGCGUAUGAGAGAACCAUGUUGAAGGAACUCGGCAAAAUUCCUCUGUAACUUCGGGAGAAAGAGGACCAAUUCCAAUACAUUGGUGGCAAAGAAAUGAGGGCGGCGACUGUUUAUUAAAAACACAAGACUCUGCAAAAUGAUUCCAUUAUGUAUAGGGUCUGACACCUGCCCGGUGCUGGAAAGAUAGAGAUGGAGAUUCAAAUUCAAAGGAUAGCCACUUAAUAACCAGUAAACGGCGGCUGUAACWCUAACAGUCCUAAGGUAGCGAAAUUCAUCGGCACUUAAUUGGUGUCCUGCACGAAUGGUGUAACGAUCGCCCUACUGUCUCCAACAUGGACUCAGUGAAAUUGAAUUCUCCGUGCAGAUGCGGAGUACUAGCAGCUAGACGGUAAGACCCUGUGCACCUUUACUAUAACCUCACAUUGGAAAGAUUUAUAAAACGUAUAGAAUAGGUGGGAGAGACUUUUGACUCAACAGUGGAAUACCACCCUUUUUAUGAGUCUUUUCUUAUUCAUUCGUGUUUGACAGUGUGUGGUGGGUAGUUUUUCUGGGGCGGAAGCCUGCUAAAAAGUAACGGAGGCGUGCAAAGGUAGGCUCAAGCUAGACUGAAAUUAGCUGUAGAGCGUAAUGGUACAAGCCUGCCUGACUGCAAGACUCACAAGUCGAGCAGGGACGAUUAAAAAACUAAACAACUACUUCUUGACGUUUGUUUAGGAAAAGUCGGCCAUAGUGACCCGGGGGUUCUGCGUGGAAGGACUCUCGCUUAACGGAUCAAAGGUACGCCAGGGAUAACAGACUAAUUACCCCCAAGAGUCCAUAUCGACGGGGUAGUUUGGCACCUCGAUGUCAGCUUGUCACAUCCUCGGGGUGAAGAAGCUCCGAAGGGUCGGGCUGUUCGCCCGUUAAAGUGGUACGUGAGCCGGGUUUAAUACGUUGUAAAACAGUAUGGUUCCUAUCUACUGCUAGUGAUUAAAAAAACUGAAAGAAUAAGUUCGUUGUACGAGAGGAACCGAGCUUCUCAACCUCUGGUGAGUAAGUUGUCGUGCCAACGGCACCGCUUAGUAGCUACGUUGAGUGAUUUUUUUUAACCGCUGAAAGCAUCUAAGCGGGAAAUUCUUCUUAAAACAAGUUUUUUU
This 2747-nucleotide ribosomal RNA is filed under the name Tetraselmis sp. GSL018. Its description in RNAcentral is "bacterial LSU rRNA". Lineage: Eukaryota; Viridiplantae; Chlorophyta; Chlorodendrophyceae; Chlorodendrales; Chlorodendraceae. The record is from RNAcentral.